CGCUGGCGGCGUGCCUAACACAUGCAAGUCGAGCGAUUCUCUUCGGAGAAGAGCGGCGGACGGGUGAGUAACGCGUGGGUAACCUGCCCUGUACACACGGAUAACAUACCGAAAGGUAUGCUAAUACGAGAUAAUAUACUUUUAUCGCAUGGUAGAAGUAUCAAAGCUCCGGCGGUACAGGAUGGACCCGCGUCUGAUUAGCUAGUUGGUAAGGUAACGGCUUACCAAGGCGACGAUCAGUAGCCGACCUGAGAGGGUGAUCGGCCACAUUGGAACUGAGACACGGUCCAAACUCCUACGGCAGGCAGCAGUGGGGAAUAUUGCACAAUGGGCGAAAGCCUGAUGCAGCAACGCCGCGUGAGCGAUGAAGGCCUUCGGGUCGUAAAGCUCUGUCCUCAAGGAAGAUAAUGACGGUACUUGAGGAGGAAGCCCCGGCUAACUACGUGCCAGCAGCCGCGGUAAUACGUAGGGGGCUAGCGUUAUCCGGAAUUACUGGGCGUAAAGGGUGCGUAGGUGGUUUCUUAAGUCAGAGGUGAAAGGCUACGGCUCAACCGUAGUAAGCCUUUGAAACUGGGAAACUUGAGUGCAGGAGAGGAGAGUGGAAUUCCUAGUGUAGCGGUGAAAUGCGUAGAUAUUAGGAGGAACACCCGUUGCGAAGGCGGCUCUCUGGACUGUAACUGACACUGAGGCACGAAAGCGUGGGGAGCAAAACAGGAUUAGAUACCCUGGUAGUCCACGCCGUAAACGAUGAGUACUAGCUGUCGGAGGGUUACCCCCUUCGGUGGCGCAGCUAACGCAUUAAGUACUCCGCCUGGGAAGUACGCUCGCAAGAGUGAAACUCAAAGGAAUUGACGGGGACCCGCACAAGUAGCGGAGCAUGUGGUUUAAUUCGAAGCAACGCGAAGAACCUUACCUAAGCUUGACAUCCUUUUGACCGAUGCCUAAUCGCAUCUUUCCCUUCGGGGACAGAAGUGACAGGUGGUGCAUGGUUGUCGUCAGCUCGUGUCGUGAGAUGUUGGGUUAAGUCCCGCAACGAGCGCAACCCUUGCCUUUAGUUGCCAGCAUUAAGUUGGGCACUCUAGAGGGACUGCCAGGGAUAACCUGGAGGAAGGUGGGGAUGACGUCAAAUCAUCAUGCCCCUUAUGCUUAGGGCUACACACGUGCUACAAUGGGUGGUACAGAGGGCAGCCAAGUCGUGAGGCGGAGCUAAUCCCUUAAAGCCAUUCUCAGUUCGGAUUGUAGGCUGAAACUCGCCUACAUGAAGCUGGAGUUACUAGUAAUCGCAGAUCAGAAUGCUGCGGUGAAUGCGUUCCCGGGUCUUGUACACACCGCCCGUCACACCACGGGAGUUGGGGGCGCCCGAAGCCGGAUUGCUAACCUUUUGGAAGCGUCCGUCGAAGGUGAAAUCAA
Molecule: ribosomal RNA, 1410 nt
Filed under: uncultured organism
Description: 16S ribosomal RNA
Rfam family: Bacterial small subunit ribosomal RNA
Source: RNAcentral